Molecule: long non-coding RNA, 1328 nt
Organism: Herpailurus yagouaroundi (jaguarundi)
Lineage: Eukaryota; Metazoa; Chordata; Mammalia; Carnivora; Felidae
Exons: 4
Source: RefSeq, a predicted model, not a curated record
GGACCCUUCUUUCUGUGAGUCUGGCCCAUGGAGGAAGCAGAUGAGCUGCAGAAGGGAAUCUACCCGGGUCUGAUCUAGACCAAGUUGUCUUUACCACAGGAGGCACAGCUCUUCUGGCAGAAGCCCCUAGCCCUUGAGGGCUUGCCCUCCUGGGCCCUGACUUGCUCAGGCUCAAGUUCACCCGGCAGCCGCCCCACCCCAAUGGGCAAAGUGAGCAAGCGUGUACAGCCAUGGCACUUACAAAACAGCUGGCUAAUUUGAGCAAGAGACAAAACAUUUGGAUGACUUACCCUAUAUUCUCCAGUCCUAUGAAGGGUCUAGAAGGUUAGCACAAUUCUACCUUUUUACUCUCAGCUUGGAGAUCAUGACUGGGAAACACCUUUCUAGGCCUGGAGUAUGUAUCUUUCUCCAUUAGAUGAGGGGAUUGCCUGAAAUGACUGUUGCUCCCAGCUGAUACAAUAUAAUAGUGGUGCUGCUUAAGGCAAGCUAAGUGCUAUCAAGGCACACUCAAUGUAAGAACCCCAAAUUGAAGCUGCUAUAAGACAGCAUCUCCCAACCUUCAUCUCUGCUCCCCAGGCACCCAGAGGGGAGGGGUGGUGAGAACAAGGUUUUUGUUUUUUUGUUUUUCAAUCUUAGCCCACCCUGCUACCCCAGAAGAGUGUUUUAUCCACUCCUGCAGAGAGCCCUUAAUUGAACCGCUUGGAAAACAUCCGCAGAUGGACCUCAAGCUCAGGUGACAGCGCGGGCCUACAGCUGCAGCCACCAGAGGCACCGAGCGCUGAAAACCUUCCAUUUUGAGGACCUGCCCUCUGCUUCUGUGUGCGACCAGUUCCGGAGAAUCCUGUGGAAGUCUGACUCCCUGUCCCUCAGGUGCCUGGCACUGAGCUUGCCUUCAGCAACUAUUGUCUGGUGAGAGACUGAAGCCGUCUGGUUUCCAGAGAGACUCGACCCCAUUCCAAAGGAGAGACAGGUGCUUCUCAGCUCCCCUUUUGUGACAGCUCCGAAGUUUACCCGUGUGCCUCAUGUCCCCACCCCAGUCAGGAGCCCAGAGCAGAGCCAGGGUAAAAGCGCGCACGGCAGAGGCAUGUCUGGGAAGGAGGACAGGAGGCAGGCGCAGACGCUCUUCCAGCCCCACCCUGCCUCGGGCGGGCCCUCACCCACGGAGCCCACAUUGUGGAUUUUGCCCAGGCCUGACGUCUGAUUAGGUAGCGUCCACUUCUGGAAGAGCUGCUGAAAGACAGCUGACUCGGCCCCAUCGUUCUGCACCUCCACCUGUGUGUUCGGGGGGUACUGCUUCGCUUUGAUAAAGUUCUGGGAAGAGAAAGCGG